Molecule: long non-coding RNA, 515 nt
Organism: Cercocebus atys (sooty mangabey)
Lineage: Eukaryota; Metazoa; Chordata; Mammalia; Primates; Cercopithecidae
Exons: 3
Source: RefSeq, a predicted model, not a curated record
AUGUACAUCUGGCUUAUUCAGCACCCAUAAAAUUCAAUGGACCACCAUCCAGACAAAAGGAUAAAAACAGAACACAUCAAGAUAAUGAAUUUUCUUCAAACUAUUCAGCUUUCUAAUUGGGAUCCCUGCAUCCAGCCAUUUUAUACAAUUGCUGGAGCAGUACAGAAGGUGGAAAACCUGGAGGAUGGGUGGGGAACCACAGCCAUUGUCACGGGCAGUGUGCUACAUGACUCCAAGAGGGACCAGUGUGGCCACCACUAGCAUACAUAGAGCACAUUUAUGCAAAUUAGAGAAAGGUGCUCCCUCUCGACAGAUGGAUUGGAAAAAGACACCUCUCUGGAUUAACAGAUCGGUAAAGCACUCUCUCUUGUGGGACAUAUUAAGAAUGAAGACCCUCUGUGGGCUUACGUAGCUCUGUGGGCUCAUGGCAUAGCAAACACAAUACAGGCUUAAUUCCAGGCCUUACUGCCUACUCUUACCCACCAGGUACCUUUGUGCAAUGUAAAUUGUGCAAU